UACGGAGGAGCUAGCGUUAUUCGGAAUUACUGGGCGUAAAGCGCACGUAGGCGGCUUUGUAAGUUAGAGGUGAAAGCCUGGAGCUCAACUCCAGAAUUGCCUUUAAGACUGCAUCGCUUGAAUCCAGGAGAGGUGAGUGGAAUUCCGAGUGUAGAGGUGAAAUUCGUAGAUAUUACGGAAGAACACCAGUGGCGAAGGCGGCUCACUGGCCCGGUACUGACGCUGAGGUGCGAAAGCGUGGGGAGCA
This 247-nucleotide ribosomal RNA is filed under the name uncultured bacterium. RNAcentral describes it as "partial 16S ribosomal RNA". It matches the Rfam family "Bacterial small subunit ribosomal RNA", at positions 524 to 770 of the family's 1533-position model. The record is from RNAcentral.